This 467-nucleotide ribosomal RNA is filed under the name uncultured bacterium. RNAcentral describes it as "partial 16S ribosomal RNA". It matches the Rfam family "Bacterial small subunit ribosomal RNA", at positions 28 to 507 of the family's 1533-position model. The record is from RNAcentral.
GACGAACGCUGGCGGCGUGCUUAACACAUGCAAGUCGAACGGAAAGGCCUCAUUCGGGGGGUACUCGAGUGGCGAACGGGUGAGUAACUCGUGAGUAACCUGCCCUUGACUUUGGGAUAACUUCAGGAAACUGGGGCUAAUCCCGGAUAGGAGCUCCUGCUUCAUGGUGGGGGCUGGAGAGUUUCGGCGGUUGGGGGUGUACUCGCGGCUUAUCCGCUUGUUGGUGGGGUAGUGGCUUACCAAGGCUUUGACGGGUAGCCGGCCUGAGAGGGUGAGCGGCCACAGUGGGACUGAGAUGCGGCCCAGACUCCUACGGGAGGCAGCAGUGGGGAAUAUUGCACAAUGGGUGGAAGCCUGAUGCAGCAACGCCGUGUGCGGGAUGACGGCCUUCGGGUUGUAAACCGCUUUCGCUCAUGACGAAGCUUUGUGUGACGGUAGUGGGUAAAGAAGCACCGGCUAACUACGUG